UGGGGAAUUUUGGACAAUGGGCGCAAGCCUGAUCCAGCCAUGCCGCGUGCGGGAAGAAGGCCUUCGGGUUGUAAACCGCUUUUGUCAGGGAAGAAAUCUUCUGAGUUAAUACCUCGGGAGGAUGACGGUACCUGAAGAAUAAGCACCGGCUAACUACGUGCCAGCAGCCGCGGUAAUACGUAGGGUGCAAGCGUUAAUCGGAAUUACUGGGCGUAAAGCGUGCGCAGGCGGUUUUGUAAGACAGAGGUGAAAUCCCCGGGCUCAACCUGGGAACUGCCUUUGUGACUGCAAGGCUUGAGUGCGGCAGAGGGGGGAUGGAAUUCCGCGUGUAGCAGUGAAAUGCGUAGAUAUGCGGAGGAACACCGAUGGCGAAGGCAAUCCCCUGGGCCUGCACUGACGCUCAUGCACGAAAGCGUGGGGAGCAAACAGGAUUAGAUACCCUGGUAGUCCACGCCCUAAAACGGGUGUCAACUGGUUGUUGGGAAGGUUCCUUCUCAGUAACGUAGCUAACGCGUGAAGUUGACCGCCUGGGGAGUACGGCCGC
Molecule: ribosomal RNA, 544 nt
Filed under: uncultured bacterium
Lineage: Bacteria
Description: partial 16S ribosomal RNA
Rfam family: Bacterial small subunit ribosomal RNA
Source: RNAcentral